Long non-coding RNA from Beta vulgaris subsp. vulgaris (sugar beet), 749 nucleotides. RefSeq lists it as uncharacterized. Lineage: Eukaryota; Viridiplantae; Streptophyta; Magnoliopsida; Caryophyllales; Amaranthaceae. The record is from RefSeq and is a predicted model, not a curated record. The transcript has 3 exons.
UUACUUGCUCCUCUGUUUCGGUCAGCCACCACAACCCCCACCGCAGCACCACUGCCGUCGUACUUCUGCCGCCACACACAACAACCACACCGUCACUCACCCGCACGUUAUCCUCCUUCGUUCGCCCACCCUUCCUCUCGCCCAACUCGUCUCUCUCUCUCGUGCUUCCCUCUCUCUCCUCGUGCGCCGCCCAGAAACGUCGGAAUUCCGCGCCGACGAGAACUCCCAGUACCGCCCUGCUGCCGGAGCUCCAUCACGACGCCGCACCCAACCUCCUUCCUCCCCUGUUUUCGUGGUCUGCUCCACUGAGCAGAGAUCAAAUGGAAAGGAUAUUACAGCCUCCCCCGGCUUUCAAGGUUAUUAAGCAGGAAUGCAGGUAUGAGCAUAGCCAUUGCAAGUGCGCUGUUAAUAAGGAACAUGUUCAAGGGAGAGUGAGCGGUAUCUGAUGUUGGAGAAAUUAUUAUUAUUAUUGGGUCAAGUAUUUAUGUAUAGAUAUCAAGGACUAUUUAAGGUUGCAUUGUAUUAGUGGGCCAUAUCCCACAUGCUUAAGUUCCAUUUCCGCUGCAAGUAUGUGCAAUUGUGUUUAAUUAAGGUUAUGAAUUUUCGGGGCGUUACACCUACCUUCACCCGAGAGAGCUUUGUAAUGUUGUUUGAUACUGAAUUGAGAGUCCACAAGCCACUGCUCACUAUUCUUUUUUUCAUUCAUCAAAGUCUUUUGGCACGCAUACUUCCAAGCCCAACUAGCACUA